AGCACAGGACACAGCUGGGUUCUGAAGCUUCUGAGUUCUGCAGCCUCACCUCUGAGAAAACCUCUUUUCCACCAAUACCAUGAAGCUCUGCGUGACUGUCCUGUCUCUCCUCAUGCUAGUAGCUGCCUUCUGCUCUCCAGCGCUCUCAGCACCAAGCAAGCAAGUCUGUGCUGAUCCCAGUGAAUCCUGGGUCCAGGAGUACGUGUAUGACCUGGAACUGAACUGAGCUGCUCAGAGACAGGAAGUCUUCAGGGAAGGUCACCUGAGCCCGGAUGCUUCUCCAUGAGACACAUCUCCUCCAUACUCAGGACUCCUCUCCGCAGUUCCUGUCCCUUCUCUUAAUUUAAUCUUUUUUAUGUGCCGUGUUAUUGUAUUAGGUGUCAUUUCCAUUAUUUAUAUUAGUUUAGCCAAAGGAUAAGUGUCCCCUAUGGGGAUGGUCCACUGUCACUGUUUCUCUGCUGUUGCAAAUACAUGGAUAACACAUUUGAUUCUGUGUGUUUUCAUAAUAAAACUUUAAAAUAAAAUGCAGACAGUU
RNAcentral lists this long non-coding RNA (535 nucleotides) under Homo sapiens (human). Its description in RNAcentral is "HSALNT0239872". Lineage: Eukaryota; Metazoa; Chordata; Mammalia; Primates; Hominidae. The record is from RNAcentral.